This 138-nucleotide ribosomal RNA is filed under the name uncultured bacterium. RNAcentral describes it as "partial 16S ribosomal RNA". It matches the Rfam family "Bacterial small subunit ribosomal RNA", at positions 355 to 509 of the family's 1533-position model. The record is from RNAcentral.
UGGGGGAUAUUGCACAAUGGGGGGAACCCGUGAUGCAGCGACGCCGCGUGAGUGAAGAAGCGCCUCGGCGCGUAAAGCUCUGUCAGCAGGGAAGAAGAUGACGGUACCUGACCAAGAAGCCCCGGCUAACUACGUGCC